CCUACGGGAGGCAGCAGUGGGGAAUAUUGGGCAAUGGGCGCAAGCCUGACCCAGCAACGCCGCGUGAAGGACGAAGGCUUUCGGGUUGUAAACUUCUUUUCUCAGGGACGAAAAAAGUGACGCUACCUGCGGAAUAAGCCACGGCUAACUACGUGCCAGCAGCCGCGGUAAUACGUAGGGGGCAAGCGUUAUCCGGAUUUAUUGGGUGUAAAGGGCGAGUAGGCGGGAGUGCAAGUCAGAUGGGAAAACUCAGGGCUCAACCCUGGGCCUGCAUUUGAAACUGUGUUUCUUGAGUGCUGGAGAGGCAAUCGGAAUGCCGAGUGUAGCGGUGAAAUGCGUAGAUAUACGGAGGAACACCAGUGGCGAAGGCGGAUUGCUGGACAGUAACUGACGCUGAGGCGCGAAAGCGUGGGGAGCAAACAGGAUUAGAUACCCUUGUAGUC
This 443-nucleotide ribosomal RNA is filed under the name uncultured bacterium. RNAcentral's name for it is "partial 16S ribosomal RNA". It matches the Rfam family "Bacterial small subunit ribosomal RNA", at positions 338 to 795 of the family's 1533-position model. The record is from RNAcentral.